Mesoplodon densirostris (Blainville's beaked whale) is the source of this 692-nucleotide long non-coding RNA. RefSeq lists it as uncharacterized. The record is from RefSeq and is a predicted model, not a curated record. NCBI's taxonomy places the organism in Eukaryota, Metazoa, Chordata, Mammalia, Artiodactyla, Ziphiidae. The transcript has 3 exons.
CCAGGCUGGGAAGGAGCCGCGACUACUUGCAGGAGGGUGAAGCGUCUGUGCUGCUGAGGUGGGGGGAGAAGAGUACCAGUGUAUGAAGCCUUAAAGAAACGGCCGUUAGGGGAAAGGCACCGACUCGGGAGCUGUGUUUUUCUCCAGGGUUCCCUCCAGCCCUCCCCGGCUAAGGCUCGGCCCCAACAGUCCCGCGCCUCACCCAAGUGCCCCGAGUCCUGCUUCCGCCUCCGCUGCAGCCUCUCCCGCAGAGAAUCCAGUUGCUUUUUGUGGGCCUGGAUAGAGCUCCACGUGUCCGACAUUUCGGUCUCGCAGCCCAGACACGUCUCGAACCAAGGCCGGCUGCCUUCCACCUCUCAGCCCUAGUUCCAAGAAUUAUCCAACUCUCACGCGGACACCCGAAGGCUAACCGGAAAGAGAUCCCGGAGACGCACCGGACGGAAUGUCAUUUCCGGUUUUGCUCUCCCUUUGAAGCUGAAACGAGAGCCACCUUAAGUGUUGGUAGGAUGGCGGCAACCUGCGGCACAUGGAACUUACCUGACCAGGGAUUGAACCCAUAUCCCUUGCUGUGGAAGGCAGAGUCUUCCACAUUGGACCGCCAAGGAAGACCCUACUUAACAGAUAAGAAAAUGGAAGCUUGGAGAGGUUAAGUGACUCUUCCAAGGUCACACAGUAAUUCAGUGAAGCAAGCA